Molecule: long non-coding RNA, 1150 nt
Filed under: Neogale vison (American mink)
Lineage: Eukaryota; Metazoa; Chordata; Mammalia; Carnivora; Mustelidae
Description: Neovison vison (American mink) lncRNA (ENSNVIG00000000469.1)
Source: RNAcentral
GGCUUUUUUUGUUUUGUUUUUCAAGAUUUUAUUUAUUACAGCGAGAAAGGGAACACAAGCAAGGAGAGUGGGAGAGGGAGAAGCAGGCCUCCCUGCGAAGCAAGUAGGGAGCCCGAUGUGGGGCUUAUCAACUCCAUCCCAAGUGGCCGGCUACCACCAAGGUUAAAAUGUUACUUUCUUUGAACACUGCAGUUUCAGUGUCCUAGCAAAACUUUAGGAAGCUUUAUUCUCUCACCUCGUUGGUGAAUAAGGAGCGAACCAUUUGCCCUGCAUCCAGAUAUUUCUCCGAAGCCAGUUUUGUUGGGGUUGCCUUUGCUUCUGCCCAGCUGGAUCAGGGCAUCUGAAAAAAUCAAACAUGAGGAGCUAUUUUCUUAGAUAACACAAAAGGAAGUACAAAAUAGUUCACCCUGGCUUGCGUGUACGAGAGAGUGACUCACCCCUGAGAGCUAAUUGGGGUUAAUUAUUACCAGCCUGACUUGUCAAGGCAACAAAACAUCUGGUGUAACUUACUCUCAGACAGGGGAGUUGCUUCUGAAGCUCACCACGUUGAAAACACCGUGUGUACCUUUCAACCUAUGAUUAUCUAAAAUGGGAGGGGACUGUGGAAUGCUCCAGUGGAAUUAAGCUCACAAUUAGGCCCUGGCAAGAUGAAGUCACACACCAAGGAGAGAAAUCGUCCUCUCUCCUCCUCGCCACGUGACAAGCGGAGACAUCAGUUAAGAAUGGUGAUUACCUUUUGCCCCUCUAUUUUAUCCCUUCUUAUAUAUGCCAACCCUUUACCCAGAGCUCCCAACUGCCAAGGAGGCUGGAUUUCUCAGUUUUGUUUUAGUUAAUUUGCUCAGGCCUGGUGUGUCUCCAGCACUGCAGGGGAAAUUAGAACAAAAGCACGAACACGCAGAAAUCCUAUGCCUUCUGUCCAGGGAUUCUGUGCGCCCUCCUUCAGCCUGCACUAAAUUUAGAAAAGGAUCCAUCAGCUUCCUGCCCAGCAGCGCCCAGAAAGGAAGAGCGGCGUCCGCCCCGCGCCCAGGACCACCCUGGAGGGAGAAGCCGCCCAGCCACCGCGGAGACCCGAAGCUGUCUGGAGCCCGAGCCUCCUACCUUCCAUCACCUGCCACUGCCCUCGGCUUGCAUACACGUGCCCGGAGCUGAU